UAGCAUAUCAAUAAGCGGAGGAAAAGAAACCAACAGGGAUUGCCCCCAGUAACGGCGAGUGAAGCGGCAACAGCUCAAAUUUGAAAUCUGGCCCCCCAGGGUCCGAGUUGUAAUUUGCAGAGGAUGCUUUUGGCAAGGUGCCUUCCGAGUUCCCUGGAACGGGACGCCAUAGAGGGUGAGAGCCCCGUCUGGUUGGAUACCGAGCCUCUGUAAAGCUCCUUCGACGAGUCGAGUAGUUUGGGAAUGCUGCUCUAAAUGGGAGGUAUAUGUCUUCUAAAGCUAAAUAUUGGCCAGAGACCGAUAGCGCACAAGUAGAGUGAUCGAAAGAUGAAAAGCACUUUGAAAAGAGGGUUAAAUAGUACGUGAAAUUGUUGAAAGGGAAGCGCUCAUGACCAGACUUGGGCCCGGUGAAUCAUCCAGCGCUCGUCGCUGGUGCACUUUGCCGGGCUCAGGCCAGCAUCAGUUCGCUCCGGGGGACAAAGGCUCUGGGAAUGUGGCUCCUCCGGGAGUGUUAUAGCCCACUGCGCAAUACCCUGGGGCGGACUGAGGUUCGCGCAUUCGUGCAAGGAUGCUGGCGUAAUGGUCAUCAGUGACCCGUCUUGAAACACGGACCAAGGAGUCGUCUUCGUAUGCAAGUGUUCGGGUGUAAAACCCCUACGCGUAAUGAAAGUGAACGCAGGUGAGAGCUUCGGCGCAUCAUCGACCGAUCCUGAUGUUCUCGGAUGGAUUUGAGUAAGAGCAUACGGGGCCGGACCCGAAAGAAGGUGAACUAUGCCUGUAUAGGGUGAAGCCAGAGGAAACUCUGGUGGAGGCUCGCAGCGGUUCUGACGUGCAAAUCGAUCGUCAAAUAUGGGCAUGGGGGCGAAAGACUAAUCGAACCUUCUAGUAGCUGGUUUCCGC
RNAcentral lists this ribosomal RNA (900 nucleotides) under Keithomyces carneus. RNAcentral's name for it is "partial large subunit ribosomal RNA". It matches the Rfam family "Eukaryotic large subunit ribosomal RNA", at positions 36 to 961 of the family's 3401-position model. The record is from RNAcentral. Lineage: Eukaryota; Fungi; Ascomycota; Sordariomycetes; Hypocreales; Clavicipitaceae.